UUUAUUUAUUUAUUUAUUUAUUUAUGACAGAGAAAGAGAGUGGGGGGGGGUUAAUGAGCAGACAGAGAGGGACAAGCAGACUCUGCAAUGAGAAAAUGAGUAGUGAUGUGGGGCUCGAUCUCACAACCCUGAGAUGACCUAAGCUGAAAUCAAGAGUUGCAAGCUUAACUAACAGUCACCUAGGUGCUCCUCAGAGUUAACACUUACUUUCAACAAAAGUACCCUGACCUACUUGAUAAAAAUUUUGCAGCUGAGAAAGAUGGAACCAUGUUGUAGUCAUUUAUUGAUGACUUUGUAUAAUCCCUAACUUCUUUCUUUUUAUCAAAACCUAUAUUAAUCUAUGCACAAAUUUGAUAGAUUUACUAUUCGACAUAGAUCCACAAUCCAGCCAUUUAUCAUUUGGCCACUGCUGUCCAAAGCACUAUGAUCUCUCACCUGGUUUGUUUCAAUAGCUUUCUAACUAUUCUCCUUAUUCUUUUCUUGCCUUACCCCCAUUCAGGUUUCUGGUUUGUAAUACAGCAGUAGCUAAGUGAAUGUUCCUUUUUUUGUUUUUUGUUUUUUGGGGUGUUUUUGAAAAAGAGAGCGCAAGCUGAGCAAGUGUGGGGGAGAAGCAGAGGAAGAGAGAGAAAAUCUCAGGUAAAAGAUUCCACCCUCGGCACAGAGCCCAACAUGGGCCUUAAUCUCACAGACCCUGGGAUCAUGAACUGAACUGAAACCAAGAGUUGGUCACUUAAACAACUGAGCCACCCAGGCAACCCUGAGUGUUCUCUUUAAUACAUAAAUGAGAUCAUUACAUCCUGUGUUCAAAGCCCUCCAGUACUUCCUAUUUUAAAGUAAAAGCUGAAAUCACAAAGGCUCUGUAUGUCCAGAAUGCUUGUUACUUCUGUAACCUUUCAUUCUCCUUCCAUAUUUGCUCUAGUGACUAUGGCUUCCUUUAUGUUCUCCAAGACAUAAAGACAUCAUGUUCUUAGCUCAGGAUUUUUAGUCUUGUUCUUCUCUCCUAACGAGACUUUCUUGGGGGCACCUGGGUGGCUCAGUCGGUUAAGCAUCAAACUUUUGGUUUUGGCUCAGGUCAUGAUUCUGCCCUCACGGGGCUCUGUGCUCAGCAGGGAGUCUACUUGAGAUUCUCUCCCUCUGUGCCUUCCCCUCUCUGUUUCUGUCUCAUAAAUCAAUCAAUCAAUCAAUCAAUCCGUCUCUCUUUAAAAAAAAAAAUUCUUUCUCCAGAUAGUUGUAUGACUCCUUCCCUUAACUCUUCACAUACUAUUUUCCCAACAGAGCAAUUCCUCAUUGCCUUGUUCAAAAUUAUGGAUGGCUUCCCCACAAACAUACAUAUAUGCCUUCUUAGGUUUCUCCAUCUGUCAGAUCCUCAGGUGAAUUCCAUAGACCCAACGACUGCAGCCUCAUGCUUACUCCUGCAUUUGCCCUGUGACUUUGUUAACAUCACCCACUGCCUUCCCCAGACUAAUAUGCUUCUGCCUACCCAAAGUCUCCCACCCAAGUCUCCUAACUAAGCCUUGUACACUCAUGGGUGAGGUCAAACAAAUAGGGAUGUAUCCUUACAUCUCUAUUUCUGGAAGGUACAUGUUGGUAUAUGUUUUUUAUAUUCUUCAAUUUAGUUUUCAUAUUCAUCAUGCUAGUUUGCCUGAUUUUUCAUUCUUUUGUCUUUACCUUUGUAGUCUGUUUUCAAGCUCCGUUCUCUGGAUAAAAUCACUCUACCUCUGUCUUAAUGCCUCAGAUAAGAAAGGGAUAUAACACACCAUAUUCUCAAGACUUAACUUUCUCUAUUUUGACUUGUUCUUUGAUUUCCAGCCAUCAGUCCAGGGUAUUACUCUUUUUCUCCUGUGCAUUCUCUAUUCAACUCCUGCUGUUCCCUCUUUUCCUUGCACUCAGUAUCCUAAAAGGUCUUCACAGCUCUGGACUUUGUAUAUGCCCAACAAAAUAUUCUUGUCAAUAAUGUUUGAUUUUCUCUUAUUUUUCAGUGUAAAACUUCUUUUUUAAUAUUUUAUUUAUUUAUUCAUGAGAGACACAGAGAGAGAGAGAGAGAGAGAGAGAGGCAGAGACACAGGGAGAGGGAGAAGCAGGCUCCAUGCA
Molecule: long non-coding RNA, 2091 nt
Filed under: Canis lupus familiaris (dog)
Lineage: Eukaryota; Metazoa; Chordata; Mammalia; Carnivora; Canidae
Description: lncRNA (ENSCAFG00845019904.1)
Source: RNAcentral